UGUUUCAUUCUCUGAAUGUAAUGGUUGUUUGUGGGCCAUCCCUCCAGAUCCUUUCCCUGAACGCAAAGUUUACUGGAAGUUCCCAUGAUGCAUAUGUCAUUCGACAAUCAGGGAUAUGGCACAGAUUAAGAUCAAGUCAACGAGCAGACAUGUGGUUAUUGGGAGACCGUGGAUAUCCUUGCACCCCCUGGCUCAUGACUCCUUACCGUAAUCCCAGGCCAGGACCACAGACGGCAUUUAACUCCGCGCUUACUGCCACUAGGCAGCUGGUGGAGCGCACAAUUGGGGUCCUUAAAGGGCGGUUUCGUGUGCUCCACCGCACUGGUGGCGACAUCAUGUAUUCGCCGGAGAUGGCAAGUAAACUAGUGGUUCUGUGCGCAAUACUACACAAUAUCGCGGUAAGGAGUAGCGUAGAGCUUCCUCAGACAGAGGAAUUGCCUGAUGAGGAGCCAGGGGUUGUUCGACACUUCGGUGGGGGGAGUGUUACACGGAGGGGGAGCCAAGUCAGGGCAAGCAUUGUUGCUGAAUAUUUCAGCUGAAUGAUCACACAAACUGUGGACGAGAACAACGGCAGACCUCUCAGCCCCCUUCCCCUUCCCAGUCCCCCUCCCCUUCUCACUCCCCCUCCCCUUCUCACUCCCCCUCCCCUUCG
Molecule: long non-coding RNA, 652 nt
Organism: Pseudophryne corroboree (corroboree frog)
Lineage: Eukaryota; Metazoa; Chordata; Amphibia; Anura; Myobatrachidae
Exons: 4
Source: RefSeq, a predicted model, not a curated record